Long non-coding RNA from Paramormyrops kingsleyae, 2926 nucleotides. RefSeq lists it as uncharacterized. NCBI's taxonomy places the organism in Eukaryota, Metazoa, Chordata, Actinopteri, Osteoglossiformes, Mormyridae. The record is from RefSeq and is a predicted model, not a curated record.
GCCGGUUAAAAUCCGGAGCUAUAAAAGCUGAUGUGCGCGCGAGGGCCGCCCUUUCCGAGAGCGUGGCGAAGGCGCGUGUGCUGUGUGUUUCAUGUCAAAAAUGCAUGCAAAUAAAACGAAAGGAGAAAAUCUCUGGAAGCCGCCAUGAGGUGCGAACUCAUUUACUGUGAAGAGAACAUUUUAACUAGUUAUGAUGGGACUGACACUCCAGUACGAAGCCCAGGGUCUGGCUGGGGGUUGGACUUUUGUUCCAGGCUGUCAAGCGGAGACGACUCAUGCUUGUGCUGCCCCAGGUCCUUAGUGCCUGGGACCCAGCAGUGAAUUGUUGCCAGAUGUAUGGAGAUGUAAAUAAAUACAACAAACUGUGUAACGAUCUCAUUUAUUUGAAUGCUUAUGUUCUUAAACUUUGUCAUUUUCUCAGUAGGUAGGUUAUUUCCGGAACAAUGAAAGUUAGGAGGACAAUGGCUUGCUAUUUUUAUUUUGUAUGUAGGGCUGGUGGAAAAAGGUCCCUCACUUGGCUUUUCUGUAACCUUGUAAGAGGUCUGGAGAUACUAAAUAGGACUUCAGGUUGGACCUAAAGCAUACAUGCUGCUGUUGUGGUUUUUGAAAGCUCCCUCUUCCAAAAGUGUUGGGCUGUUAACCUUUUGAAAAUGAUGUGCAUUUUUGGCAGGCAUUUCACUGCACUCCAGUGUCCCGUCACUGCAGCCCUUUCUGUAACUCCUGUCAGUCUAUCGUCCGUAUUGUCAGAUUUCCAUGUUUAAACUAGCAGCUACUGUCCUAAUGUCUUAGGGCCUGUAUCCCCAAGCUAGAAUCCUGGGUUGGCAAGAUAACUUGUCGCGUUUAAGGUAAUCUGUGCUACAAGUAAAGGAAAGACGAUAGCCCAUUAAAACUGGGGUACUUUAAAUCCAACAAGUUAUCUAGCUAGCAACAAGUCUCAGUUUGUGAUUCAGGCCCUCUGUGUUGCCGGAUAGUCGGCUAAAUGCAACAAUAACAAAAUAUUGGUUUUAAUAUUUCAGAUGCUCUUCAGAGUUCACUGUAUAUAUUUUCUUAAGUUUGUAGGUGGCAGUAUGUUACCUACUUGGUAAUGGUACAAAUGGGGAUUGAUAGGGUGUAAUACUCAUGAUGCAAUACUAUGCUUAAGUCCAUGAAAAGCUGGUUGAUUUUGUAGCACUUGCUGAUAUACUGUGAAUGCUGGCUGCAUUGGCAUUUGCUUUUGGCACAGUUCCUCUCCAUGGGGUUACCAUGUGUUGCAUAGUGCAGUGCUUAAGGUCUCGCACCACUUCUAAUAUUGGAAUUGAAUGCUUGUCAUUAUCGUAAUUACAUGAAGGGGUUACCCCUCUUAUACAUUCUGCUCAUGGUAGCCUGGGGUAAUUUGCUGUAUGGGGAAUGAUCAUGAGGCUUUGUGAUGUCAGCUCUCUUUUUCCCUAAGCAUUCCCUCCUAAAUGCUUUCACUUUAAAUGGCUUUGUGGCUGGCUGGCAUAUGUGCUGAAAUAACUAGGUAUUGAAAGCCACACUCGUCCGGAGCCUGUUCUGGAAAAUUAAUGGAAUGAGGUUUUUGAAGGCUAGUCCGUUGGAAUGUCCUCGUAUGCAUGACCGUACACUCUUCACUGAAGAUGAGGUUGCAAUUUGUAGAGCACAAUGUUCUUAGACUGGGGUGAACCUGCUGUACCCUCAAGGAGAACAUGCACGCUCUGAAGUUCGAGCUGUAACUUUGCGAUUCCCUGGGUGAGUCACAAAAGCUGUGGGUGCCGAGCCUCUGUGCCAGAUGUUACUAGAAUGUCCUUAAAAAUUUCAAUAAGAAGUUUCUGCGGAAGUGGAAAGUUCAGGUUGAAGGAAGUACAAAUGCAGACCAAGAUUGUUGAAGGUUGUUUCAACCAACCAGUUAAGUAUAAAGAGUUGGAUUCACAGGGUUCUCAACUGGUUGGUUGAAAGAAAAUCUUGGUCUGGAUCUGUACUUUCUGGAGCUGGAGUGUCCACCUCUGGGUUUCUCUCCUGAUUCAUUCAGCCUGUGUCUGUUUCAUCGCUGGAAGCAGGUCAGCAGUAGUUUGAGUCACACCUUUGUUGUAAUUCCCAGAUCACAAGGUGCUGGAGGCACUGGGAACUACUCCCUUGGCUCUAGUGGAGUUCCUGCCCCGGCUAAUAGAGCAGGGUGGUGGCGUGGUAAUGUCGGCCAUACAGGAUUGCCUUGGUAAUGACACAGCUUGUUCUGUUUGACAGCUGCAUGUUCCUGUCCGGCUUGCUGGCAGAGGUGGUAUUAAUCUCUACAUAACAAUGCUAAAGGGAACUUGCCAUGUCCCAUAAUGCACCUGAGCCAGUCUGUAGUCACUGUGAUGGGACAUUUUUCCCUGUGUAGGAUCAUUUCACUUAGUCACAUAGGUGUUAAUUUAGUACUAACUAAUCCCUUUUCCCCUGCCUGCACGUAGAGGAACGUCCUGAGGGCAGGUUAUGUGUUCAUAAUUAACGUUCAGCUAAAUCUCCAAUUUAUCUUCAAUCAAACUCUUCUCAGAUUAGUCUUUCUUAAUGUCAAGAUCACAGCUGUUUUUUUUUCAUUUACAUGUUUUUAAUUGCCUGAGGCAAAUGAAUUGAUGUCUAUUCAUCAUCUGAGGCUUGUGGUGACUCCCAGAGCGUAUCCUGCGCCCCAAGGACGCCCUGGUUUCGAAAAUGCAGUCAGACAUGGAGUUCAUUUUGCGUGCUUGUCAGGAUUUCUUGGAACAAUAAUUUUACGAUUCUUGUACUGGAUUAACAAGGGAGAUGGAUGAUGACAACGAUGGCAACCGCAGGAGGCGGGGAGGUGGCACAGUGGUGCAGUUGUGAGCACUAUUGCCUCACGCCUAUGGGACCUGUGUUCAAGUCUCUAUCAGAGUACCAGGUGUGGAGUUUGCAUGUUCUCCCUGUGUAUGUCAUAGGGUUUCCUCCAGGUCCUCUG